CUUAUGAAGUUAGCGGCGGACGGGUGAGUAACACGUGGGUAACCUGCCCAUAAGACUGGGAUAACUCCGGGAAACCGGGGCUAAUACCGGAUAACAUUUUGAACUGCAUGGUUCGAAAUUGAAAGGCGGCUUCGGCUGUCACUUAUGGAUGGACCCGCGUCGCAUUAGCUAGUUGGUGAGGUAACGGCUCACCAAGGCAACGAUGCGUAGCCGACCUGAGAGGGUGAUCGGCCACACUGGGACUGAGACACGGCCCAGACUCCUACGGGAGGCAGCAGUAGGGAAUCUUCCGCAAUGGACGAAAGUCUGACGGAGCAACGCCGCGUGAGUGAUGAAGGCUUUCGGGUCGUAAAAC
Molecule: ribosomal RNA, 355 nt
Filed under: Bacillus thuringiensis
Lineage: Bacteria; Bacillati; Bacillota; Bacilli; Caryophanales; Bacillaceae
Description: bacterial SSU rRNA
Rfam family: Bacterial small subunit ribosomal RNA
Source: RNAcentral